Non-coding RNA from Lupinus albus (white lupine), 201 nucleotides. Lineage: Eukaryota; Viridiplantae; Streptophyta; Magnoliopsida; Fabales; Fabaceae. The record is from the annotation of a GenBank genome assembly.
CUCUUCCUCCUCAACAAAAUAUCAUAACUAUGACCAGGAUGCCGAAAAACAACAUUUGGAUUCAAAACUCAUCAACUACAACAAGGCGUUUAUUAGAAGGUGAACGUUGAAAUCAAACAACUACAAUUUGGGAAUACAAACACCAAUUACGGAAAUUCUUCAACACAAUGACUUUUGAACCAUCAUUUUUUUUACAAGUGA